This 60-nucleotide ribosomal RNA is filed under the name Leptestheria dahalacensis. Lineage: Eukaryota; Metazoa; Arthropoda; Branchiopoda; Diplostraca; Leptestheriidae. The record is from RNAcentral.
CUACGUCGGGCCCGGUUAGUACUUGGAUGGGUGACCGCCUGGGAACACCGGGUGCUGUUG